AAUAGAUACCCGGGUAGUCCACGCCGUAAACGAUGAGUGCUAAGUGUUAGAGGGUUUCCGCCCUUUAGUGCUGCAGCUAACGCAUUAAGCACUCCGCCUGGGGAGUACGGUCGCAAGACUGAAACUCAAAGGAAUUGACGGGGGCCCGCACAAGCGGUGGAGCAUGUGGUUUAAUUCGAAGCAACGCGAAGAACCUUACCAGGUCUUGACAUCCCACUGACCGGUAUAGAGAUAUACCUUUCCCUUCGGGGACAGUGGUGACAGGUGAUGCAUGGUUGUCGUCAGCUCGUGUCGUGAGAUGUUGGGUUAAGUCCCGCAACGAGCGCAACCCUUGAUCUUAGUUGCCAGCAUUUAGUUGGGCACUCUAAGGUGACUGCCGGUGACAAACCGGAGGAAGGUGGGGAUGACGUCAAAUCAUCAUGCCCCUUAUGACCUGGGCUACACACGUGCUACAAUGGAUGGUACAAAGGGCUGCAAGACUGCGAAGUCAAGCCAAUCCCAUAAAAACCAUUCUCAGUUCGGAUUGCAGGC
RNAcentral lists this ribosomal RNA (531 nucleotides) under uncultured bacterium. RNAcentral's name for it is "bacterial SSU rRNA". It matches the Rfam family "Bacterial small subunit ribosomal RNA", at positions 777 to 1305 of the family's 1533-position model. The record is from RNAcentral.